GACAAACGUCCUCGACAUCGUCACUCAGUCUUCGAGUACUUCUCACUUGCAAAGACCUAGCGCUAGAGACGUUGUUUAGCGUCCCUGUUACCUCGACGAUCCUCUGACAGACGCUGUGAACCCGAACGGUCAGAGAGCACCGAGAGUGAAGAAAAUUAGUAACCGACAUCGUGAGCGCCCAUUUGUUUUACCAGACCAGCCGCUCGAUCGUCCGCCGUAUCAUCCAGAUGAUGAUGACUCAGCCGUGUUGGGAAGGAGAAAGACCGCAGGAAACUUCAGUCCCAUCCUUUGUGUAUUCAGGCCAACGCCAAAUUAUACCAGAAUUCGUCCUGGAGAACUGCUGCUGGUUGUAAUGGAGGAUCCGCGCUUCCGGCUACUCAAAUCUCUUUCUUGCCGGACAGAUCAUCCAUCAAACAAUGAUUCGUUGGAGCAAGGAUCAAAGGAUGACGCAGCUCUUCCUCUGUAAGUGUCUGCCCUGAUGCGUUCAGUAGUAGCCGACUAUGUCCUUCAAUCGUUGAAACAAUUUGUCCACCUCGUUUUCCAUUCGUCCAAUCUCUUCGACGGUUUCGUGAAACUCCAGCUCACUCGAUAAAUAGCCAACGAAUUGAAGACGAAUGCUUUUACGACCAAACAGCAACGAACCCCUGACCAGCAGUACCAACAAAGCCCGGCAGUCGACUUGAACAGUCCGGUUCCCCGGACGGAUGUUACAGCGCCGUUAGCCCGUAAUCGGACUUGACCGCCGGUGGCGGAAUGGGCGCGGAGACCUGCGACAGUCCAGACGGACUGGUCGCCGGGGCAAGAGGAC
Molecule: unclassified non-coding RNA, 808 nt
Filed under: Bombus terrestris (buff-tailed bumblebee)
Lineage: Eukaryota; Metazoa; Arthropoda; Insecta; Hymenoptera; Apidae
Description: misc RNA ENSBTSG00005033215.1
Source: RNAcentral